RNAcentral lists this ribosomal RNA (524 nucleotides) under uncultured bacterium. RNAcentral describes it as "partial 16S ribosomal RNA". It matches the Rfam family "Bacterial small subunit ribosomal RNA", at positions 355 to 871 of the family's 1533-position model. The record is from RNAcentral.
UGGGGAAUUUUGGACAAUGGGCGAAAGCCUGAUCCAGCAAUGCCGCGUGUGUGAAGAAGGCCUUCGGGUUGUAAAGCACUUUUGUCCGGAAAGAAAUGGCUCUGGUUAAUACCUAGGGUCGAUGACGGUACCGGAAGAAUAAGGACCGGCUAACUACGUGCCAGCAGCCGCGGUAAUACGUAGGGUCCAAGCGUUAAUCGGAAUUACUGGGCGUAAAGCGUGCGCAGGCGGUUGUGCAAGACCGAUGUGAAAUCCCCGAGCUUAACUUGGGAAUUGCAUUGGUGACUGCACGGCUAGAGUGUGUCAGAGGGGGGUUAGAAUUCCACGUGUAGCAGUGAAAUGCGUAGAGAUGUGGAGGAAUACCGAUGGCGAAGGCAGCCCCCUGGGAUAACACUGACGCUCAUGCACGAAAGCGUGGGGAGCAAACAGGAUUAGAUACCCUGGUAGUCCACGCCCUAAACGAUGUCAACUAGUUGUUGGGGAUUCAUUUCCUUAGUAACGUAGCUAACGCGUGAAGUUGACCG